This is a long non-coding RNA of Solenopsis invicta (red fire ant), 2694 nucleotides long. RefSeq lists it as uncharacterized. Lineage: Eukaryota; Metazoa; Arthropoda; Insecta; Hymenoptera; Formicidae. The record is from RefSeq and is a predicted model, not a curated record. The transcript has 4 exons.
UCUUCUUUCAUUGCAUUUAUUGAUCUAUCGUAUUAUGUGCAAAUGCAGAGCGAAGUAUAAGCUGUCGGUGUUGUCAAUACAUUUCAUAACGCCCGCGCGCGCCUCUUCAAGCCGAGCGAGGUACGCGUGACGUCACGUAUCGCGCGCGAAAAGUUGCUCCUGAACGUCGCGCCGAGUGUUUCUCUUGCUAAUUAUCAACAUGGCCGCGCGUGAGUACGUCGCGUCAGGAUUGUUGAAUCAGUUUCGGGCGGCGCGUUAAUUAAAGUGCACGCGCGAGAGAGGUACUUUUUCGAUUCGAAUCGCGAUCGGCCAGGAGGACGGCCUUCCAAGGAACCGGAUGCUCGCCGCGGUCCGAAGUAUGGUUAUAUUCGCUCGGAGAGAAUCGCGACGCGUCGUAGUGGUUAAAAGAGUGGUUCGAUGAAUAAUUAAUAAGCAGAUGCUACUCCGUGCGUCUUUGCGAAGUGUGGCUGUAUCGGAGUGCGUAUCUCGGGAAUGCGUCGACGAUCAUCGAACGGAAAUUGGCUUGGACGAAGCAGCCGGCGACGAGAACAACGCGGAAUCUGGUGGUUGGCGUAAAUAACUCACGGUUCACACAACGUUAGAGAGAGACAGCGGUUCACACAACGUUAGAGAGAGAUAGCGGUUCACACAACGUUAGAGAGAGACAGCGGUUCACACGGAGAAUUAAUUGGCAUUUUUGCUUCUUCACAUAUUCUUCGAGGUGGACAGCGACGAGAAGAGGACAACGUCCAUUGUCGCCGAUUUGGACAUGACUAAUAAAAUAAACAAAUCGCAGCCGAUUUGUCGCGUCGCGCGUUUGCUUCGGGAGUGCCGUUUGAGUAUUGGACUAAAUAGACUUUUUUCAUAACUCCCAUUCGAUAGAAUUCUAAUUCGAGGGCCGGGAAUCGCACCCCCGCUGCUUGGCAGUGGAUAUAUUCUCACUGGGGCGUUGCGCAUGGUGGCCGCGCGCGGCGCACCGCGAUGUUCCAUGCCGAGUGCCCGUGCACGAGGUAAUGCCGGGCCGCGUUAUAGCAUGUUUCCCCUGUGUGCAUGUUGCGCGGCUGUCUGGUUGUGUGAGGUUUACACGCUCUGUCUCCGGCAAUUGGUUCGGUCCUAAGCGGUAAGAGUUCGGAUCGGUUGCCUUGGAUUCGCACGUUUCUCUUGCUCUCGUCCACCUAAGGCUUUCUUAGAUCCUUGAUACCCUUUUUGGAUUCUUUGGAUCUGGGGUUCGAACCAGUGAAUCACGUUUAAUCUGACUUGGUCAGAACUUGGCCUUGUAGGUUAAGCUUGUGACGAGAGGCUGGCUCUCAUUUCCUGAUUCGUCUAAAAUGCUAGACGUCGGCAAUGAGUACCUUCUUCUCUCGUCCUGCCGGAGUGUCUUGUCGACGCCGCUUGGAUAUAAGAUCCAGUGGGACUGAUCUCGAUGAUCCGUUGGCUGGGCUUAUGAACGAGUCAAUUUUAGACGUGAUUUUUGUGAGACAAGAGGCUUCGGAUUCAAUGCCAUUGAUUUUGUUUUCUUCCGCGUGGGGCUUACCCUUUUUCGGGGGCGGGUACGCGUGCGUCCUACUCGCCGACUCGGGGUGCUGAAUCCACGGGAAUCCCUCUAAAUGGGAACUCAUAUCAUGGGUUUUAUAAACCCGAAGUGCCGCAGUAUCGCCCAAAAAACUUUAUAAAUGGUUAGUCCACGCUCGCAAAAUUAGUAUAUUAUUCGCGAGUGUUUCGUGUGUGCAACGAGAGGAAGACAACUUAAAGAACACUGAGAGGAGGAGGAGGCCUGGGAGAGGCAUCGGGCUUCAGCGGAGCAACCUUGGAUAAUCACCGCAGCUUCGUGACUGAUCAACUCCGCUCGUUGCGCAUCGGAUCGGUGAGUCAGAAAUCAAUUUUCUUAUUAUAUUUCAUGUUUGCAAUUGUCCUGCGCAUCAAAGAAAAGUGUAAAUCUUAAUGUUUUAUGUUAGUAAUCUUAGCUUCGUACAUUUUUUGUUUCGCUGAUUUAAUCUUUUUAAGAUUAAACUCUCUUUAAACUCUAAACUUUAAACUCUCUUAAUACUUUAAACUCCCUGGGUGUCGUGAGCGCGACGUUUAAUGCUCGGUAUAAUCAAACGCGUGUAUUUUCACUAGAAACAUGCGGGCAUGUGCGACUACAAUCGCACUAUGGCGCGGGAACGGAAAUGUAACUAAACAAACGCACGUUCUGGGAUCGCGUUAAGUGUUUGCACGGGUAGUUGGGCUGUAUUAUACCACACGGUUGGGACAAGCACGACACGCUUAGCAACGUGAAUUCUAGCCACGAGACAAAUACUCGCGCAAUAAUGACAUCAAUAUUUUUGCAAUGCGGACGAAACGAAUACAAAAUUCACAUUUUGAAGUAUGCUACAUAUCUAUUUUAAAUAUUAAAUAGUAACAAAAUUGCGAAUUAAUAGAUUGAAUCUUUUUAACCUUAUUUUUUACUUAUGAUCCGUGUUAAGUAUAGUAUAUAACUAUUAUGGCGAAAUACUCGUCUUGUAUAAUAAAUUACAGCAAAUAAUUUUUGUUAUUAACAAUUUUUGGUUUAUUAUUUUGAACAAAAAUAAUUCAAUAAAUAAUUACUGCUGCUAUAAUUAAUGAUUUGUUGCAAGUUCUUAUUUAUCAAUUUUGAAUUAUUAAAUAAGGUAACAAUGUAGUUACUAUUUGGUAUUUAGUUUUAAAUAAAAUAGA